RNAcentral lists this ribosomal RNA (2036 nucleotides) under human gut metagenome. RNAcentral describes it as "bacterial LSU rRNA". It matches the Rfam family "Bacterial large subunit ribosomal RNA", at positions 858 to 2925 of the family's 2925-position model. The record is from RNAcentral.
CUCGAAAUAGCUUUAGGGCUAGCCUGGAGUUAAUCUAAUGGGGGUAGAGCACUGAAUGGGCUAGGGGGCCACAAAGCUUACCGAACCCUAUCAAACUUCGAAUACCGGAUAAUUGAUGAUCGGGAGUCAGACAGUGUGAGAUAAGUUUCAUUGUCGAAAGGGAAACAGCCCAGAUCUACGACUAAGGUCCCAAAGUUCAAGUUAAGUGGAAAAGGAUGUGCAAUUGCGUAGACAACCAGGAUGUUGGCUUAGUAGCAGCCAUUCAUUCAAAGAGUGCGUAAUAGCUCACUGGUCGAGUGAUUGUGCGCCGAAAAUGUAACGGGGCUAAACUUGACACCGAAGUCUAGGCAGAAGGAAACUUCUGGGUAGGGGAGCAACGUGUACGGGCAGAAGCAGAAGCGGAAGCGACUGUGGACUGUACAGGAGAGAGAAUGCCGGCAUGAGUAGCGAGAGCAAAGUGAGAAUCUUUGCCGUCGAAAGCCUAAGGUUUCCUGAGGAAGGCUCGUCCUCUCAGGGUAAGUCAGGACCUAAGCCGAGGACAAAAGUCGUAGGCGAUGGACAACUGGUUGAUAUUCCAGUACCACCUUUAGCGUUUGACUGAAGCAGUGACACAGAAGGAUAGACAGAGCGCGUGACUGGUAGAGCGCGUCCAAGCGAUGAGGGAGUUAAGUAGUGAAGAACGCUUAACAAUCCUGGGUCGUGAUGGGGACUGAAAAUAAGUAGGGAAGCUGUUGAAUUCACGCUGGCGAGAAAAGCUGCUAAGGAGCGAAAGGGUGCCUGUACCGCAAACCGACACAGGUAGGCGAGGAGAGAAUCCUAAGACGAGCGGGAGAACCCUUGUUAAGGAACUCGGCAAAAUGACCCUGUAACUUCGGGAUAAAGGGAGCCACGAGAGUGGCCGCAGAGAAUAGGCCCAAGCGACUGUUUACCAAAAACACAGGUCUGUGCGAAGUAGAGAUACGACGUAUACGGGCUGACGCCUGCCCAGUGCCGGAAGGUUAAGGGGAAGUGUUAGGGCAACCGAAGCACGGAACUUAAGCCCCGGUGAACGGCGGCCGUAACUAUAACGGUCCUAAGGUAGCGAAAUUCCUUGUCGGGUAAGUUCCGACCCGCACGAAUGGCGUAACGACUUGUGAGCUGUCUCAACAGGAGGCCCGGUGAAAUUGAAGUAUGUGUGAAGAUGCACAUUACCCGCGACUGGACGGAAAGACCCCGUAGAGCUUUACUGUAACCUGACAUUGGAUCUUGAUAACGGAUGCACAGGAUAGGUGGGACGCUGGGAGACGAGGACUUUGGUUUUCGUGGAGCGGCCGUUGGGAUACCACUCUUCUGUUAUUGAGAUUCUAACCUCAAGCCGUGAGCCGGAUGAGAGACAGUGUCAGGCGGACAGUUUGACUGGGGCGGUCGCCUCCGAAAGAGUAACGGAGGCGCCCAAAGGUACCCUCAGAAUGGAUGGAAACCAUUCGAAGAGAGCAAAGUCAGAAGGGUGCUUGACUGCGAGACCAACAAGUCGAGCAGGUACGAAAGUAGGGCUUAGUGAUCCGGCGGUAAGAGAGUGGAAUUGCCGUCGCUCAACGGAUAAAAGCUACCUCGGGGAUAACAGGCUGAUCUCCCCCAAGAGUCCACAUCGACGGGGAGGUUUGGCACCUCGAUGUCGGCUCAUCGCAUCCUGGGGCUGUAUUCGGUCCCAAGGGUUUGGCUGUUCGCCAAUUAAAGCGGCACGCGAGCUGGGUUCAGAACGUCGUGAGACAGUUCGGUCCCUAUCCAUCGUGGGCGUAGGAGUCAUGAGAGGAGCUGUUCCUAGUACGAGAGGACCGGAAUGGACGCACCACUGGUGCAACUGUUGUCGUGCCAACGGCAUAGCAGGGAAGCGAAGUGCGGAUGGGAUAAACGCUGAAGGCAUCUAAGCGUGAAGCCCACCUCAAGAAUAAGACUCCACAAUAGACCCCUGGAGGACUACCAGGUAGAUAGGUCAUCGGUGGAAGCGCCGUAAGGUGUGUAGCUUGAUGAUACUAAUCGGUCGAAAGCUUCAUUUA